GUGCUCACUUCAGCAGCAUAUAUACUAAAACUGGAACGGUACAGAGAAGACUAGCAUGGCCCCUACUCAAGGAUGACACGCAAAUUCGCAAAGCAUCCCACGUUUUU
This 107-nucleotide small nuclear RNA is filed under the name Chinchilla lanigera (long-tailed chinchilla). Lineage: Eukaryota; Metazoa; Chordata; Mammalia; Rodentia; Chinchillidae. The record is from RNAcentral.